This 351-nucleotide unclassified non-coding RNA is filed under the name soil metagenome. RNAcentral describes it as "partial contains 5.8S ribosomal RNA, internal transcribed spacer 2, and large subunit ribosomal RNA". The stretch from base 1 to 120 matches the Rfam family "5.8S ribosomal RNA", at positions 35 to 154 of the family's 154-position model. The record is from RNAcentral.
GAUGAAGAACGUAGCGAAAUGCGAUAAGUAAUGUGAAUUGCAGAAUUCAGUGAAUCAUCGAAUCUUUGAACGCACAUUGCGCCCGCCAGUAUUCUGGCGGGCAUGCCUGUUCGAGCGUCAUUACAACCCUCAGGCCCCCGGGCCUGGCGUUGGGGAUCGGCGGAGCCCCCCGUGGGCACACGCCGUCCCCCAAAUACAGUGGCGGUCCCGCCGCAGCUUCCAUCGCGUAGUAGCUAACACCUCGCAACUGGAGAGCGGCGCGGCCAAGCCGUAAAACACCCAACUUCUGAAUGUUGACCUCGAAUCAGGUAGGAAUACCCGCUGAACUUAAGCAUAUCAAUAAGCGGAGGA